RNAcentral lists this small nucleolar RNA (104 nucleotides) under Carlito syrichta (Philippine tarsier). RNAcentral's name for it is "Small nucleolar RNA U13 (ENSTSYG00000033607.1)". It matches the Rfam family "Small nucleolar RNA U13". The record is from Rfam by way of RNAcentral. Lineage: Eukaryota; Metazoa; Chordata; Mammalia; Primates; Tarsiidae.
AUCCUUUUGUAGUUCAUAAGCGUGAUGAUUGGGUUUUCAUGCUCAUGUGUGGGAUGUGCCUCCCUCAAACCUUGUUAUGAUGUCGACACAUUACCAGUCUGAUG